AACAUCGCGCACCUGCGGGAACCUGCGGAGGGAUCAUUACCGAGUUUCCAAAAACUCCCAACCCAUGUGAACCUUACCUCUCGUUGCCUCGGCGGGAUUCGCCCCGGCGCCCAUCCUGGGCCCGGACUCCGGCGCCCGCCGCAGGACCCCCCAACUCGUGUCUCCGUGGAGCAUCGUCUGAGUGAGAAGAUUUAAUAAAUCAAAACUUUUAGCAACGGAUCUCAGAUCGGAAGAGCACAC
Molecule: unclassified non-coding RNA, 240 nt
Filed under: soil metagenome
Description: partial contains 5.8S ribosomal RNA, internal transcribed spacer 2, and large subunit ribosomal RNA
Source: RNAcentral